Molecule: long non-coding RNA, 4141 nt
Filed under: Canis lupus familiaris (dog)
Lineage: Eukaryota; Metazoa; Chordata; Mammalia; Carnivora; Canidae
Description: lncRNA (ENSCAFG00000051802.1)
Source: RNAcentral
UUUUUUUUCUUUUUUGCCUACUCCUGAACUCUAUAUAUGCUCUGCUACUGUAGCUUUUCCUAAAAACACAGGCAGUAAAUAGUUCCUAAACAGGUUUAAAAAAAAAAAAAAAAAAAAAGACUCAUACUUUGAGGCAGUCUAGAGGCAAUCUAAUCCACUUAAUUAAAUCCAGUUCCUUCCAAUUUAAUUCACUAUAUAUUUGAGAUAUUGACCAAUUUGCAUGCCUCCUUAGAGGAGAUGCAUUAUCACUACAGUGGACAUGCCUUCCCUGUAUUUAAGAUUUCUGUGGCUUUCCAGAAUUUGAUAACAAUUGCUUUUGUCCUACAUGGCUAGACUAUACGCAUGCUUUCUAUGGCAGCACUGGAUUCUGGCCCAGCUGCCUUGGUAAGGUCUGUCCAAGACCCUUCUCCACCACAUCUCAAGACAUAAUUAGGUAUAUUACUCCCUGGAACCUCAAGCAUUUUGUACAGAUUUCUACUGUUGCACUUAGCAGCACCAUUCUCUCAUUAAUCUGCGUAGUAGCCUCUAGAAGUUAUUAUCCCCAUCACAAGGACUCGGGGCCCAGAGAUUCUCUAUCUUGCUAAUGUGACACAACAAGAAAGUCAUGUAGCCUAGUUCCUUGCAUGAUAUUGCCAUGCUUCCUUAACAUACAUUGUGGAUCUUCCCAUCACUGGAAUGAAGUUUCUUUAGCGUUAACUAUUAUAUUACUUCUCGUCACGCAGCACAAUGUAGCAUCCAGCAUUCAGAAUGUGCUCAGACAGCGUAAUUGGUGGUCAUGGAGACAUGUGCUUCGCCAGCUGUGAUCACAACCCUGACUCUCCAGGCCUGCCAUAAUUGCCAGAGUUCCUACAUUAACUGUACAAAGGGUCUUUAGUUUGAUUAUCAAAUAAAUUGUUCUCAUUUAACAAGGACUUAAAGAAAUAUAGGUGAUACUAGUGGGAGAAAUAAAGAGACAUCUAGAAUCUGGGAAAGAUAACAGAUUGCACCCGUUUUGACAAAGUGCUAGCUGCAGAAGGGUAAAUGUGACAGAACUCACAUAAUGGUGCUGAGAAAUGAUGACAGUGGAGACAGAAUUAAAGAAGCCAAUAGGAAAACUAUUAUAAGUUUGGAAGAUUUUAGAUAGCCUUUCCAACUCUCUUUCUUGAAAAGUAACUCUAGAAUCAUGGGGGUCUAUCGCAGCAAGUUUUUCAAGUGUGAUCACCUCUGAUGAAAACCUGCAAAAGGCCCUUUGUAAUUCUCAGGACUUUGUAGGCAUAAUCUCUAUAGCUAAAAUGCAGCCUCCUCUGCUCCCACCAGACAGAUUCUAUUGUGGUAGAUUAGGGGUGGCCCUUAAUCAUCUCCACUGCUAAAAGGCAUUUGGGGUGAUUCCAGAUAGCAGGCCUUUAUACCACAGUUUGAGAAACCCUGGAUUAUAGCCUGUAUCUAAGACAUUAGAACAAGAUAAAGAAUCCAAUUAUAAUUGAGUUUAUCCCCACCAAAUAAUUUAAUCCCUUCCAAACAGAGAUUUCCCCACCACAUUUCUUAGAAUCUGCAAAAGUAAAUUCCUUUAUAUACUACAUAAGAGAAGUCAAAAUCCCAGGUGCGUGUAUGUUAUAUUUAUAUCCUAAGAAAGAAAAGCAUUUACAGUUUCUUCCCCAUUAUAGCUUACAGAAUACAAAUCAUCAAUCCACAUAGGGAUAUCAUUUGCAUAUAUUUUCACCAUCUUAAUUUCAAUGAAAAGUGCUUUAAGAAAAGAUAUGUGGAUCAAAAAAAAACCCCACAGAUUAGUGGUGUGCCUAAAUAGACAAUAUUUACAAGAAAAAAAUACUUUAUAGAUAAAAUAUAUUUUAAAGAAGAGAAUAUAAUUGAAAGUUUAUUACCCCAAAAUGAUUACAUUGUAUAUAGUAAAGUUAUGACCCAAGAUAAUUAAUAAAAUUGACCCAGCUUUGUUUGCAUUAAGCCCAAUGAUUUAAAGGUAAAAUGAAUAGCAGGCUGGCAGCUGUGUAGAAAGCCUUGUCUGCUUCAUGCCUAAGAAGACCUAGUAUAAAUAUGUCAAAACCUACCCAAAGAAAGUAUAGGUAUUACUCACUCUAUUGUAGAAAGUUUUUCCUUCCCUGAAAAAAAAUGAGGAGUAGAAGACAAAAAAGGAGAAUAGCUUUCCAUCAGAUCAAAAUAUUUUCCUUUGGGAUUUCAGAUUUGUCCAUGAGCAAGAGAUCACCCUGUUGGAUGCUGUUUAAAAAGAGGAAUCCCAUAUUAAAUGGCAAAGUGCAGUGACACAAAGACAUGAUUGCUUUCUGAUCUUUUGUACAGAUUAAGAAUAUAAUUGUGCAUUCUGCUGCCAAAUUACCAUCUGUUUUAUUCUCUCAAUUACAUUCUUUUCAUAGCAUCUCAUUUUGACAGGUGGGGCAAAAUAACAUCCAUGUUUAGAGAACACUUUUAACUCUAUUGGAAUACAUGGCACCCAUGUGCAUAAUAUAUUACACACAUUGGGAUCUCAACAUGGAUGGAAGUCCAUCAAAUAUUUGUACCAUUGUAUUCCAAAUUCCCAUGCCUUACAUACAUUUCCUUAUUAUCAUAUUGCUACCUAAAUAUAUCCUUGUGUAUUUUGAGAGAUUUUUUUGUUGUUGCCUAUGUUUUUACUGAAUGGAUAAGACACAUUUUUAUCAGAACUCUCUUCUUUUGAGCUAAGAAGUCAUAAAGUGUAUCGGAUGGAUCCAUGGAUGGAAAGAUGAACAAACAGAUGCAUAAAUGGAUGAUAAAGGGAUAAGUGACUCUACAGAUAAAAUUUUCUAGAUACAGAAAGCAAGUUAAACUAAGAUUUUGAUGAGAAUAAAUAGGUAUAUAAAAGAAGAUUCUUUGUAUUUCAUUCGACAAAUAGACUGUUCUUCCUCCAUCUCAAAGUGUACAACACAUUACACACACCCCUGCACACUCAUUUGUAUUUAUUGUGUUUAUAAGCCUAUUCUCCAUAUAACUAUUCUUUCUGAAGACUAGGAAUAUUAUCAAAUAAGAUAACUAUAUAAUUUUCCUCAAAUCUAUCAGAGAGACAAUGGAAACUUUUUCUAAAUCUCUACUAAGAAAUACUGCACAUACCAUAAAAUUCACCCAUUUAAUGUAUUCACUUCAACAUUUUUAGUGUAUUCAUAGGGUUGUGCAAACAUUAUCACAAACUAAUUUUAGGACUUUUUCAGUACCCCAAGAAGAAACCCAUACAUACUCGCAGGCAUUCCUCUUUCCUGCUUUCCUCUCAUCCUCCCACCAGACCCAACUUUAUCAAUUAUUAAUCUACUUGCUUUCUCUAAGUAUUUGACUAUUCUGGAUAUUAAAAUAAAUAAAAUUAGACAAUAUAUGCUCUUAUGUGGAUUGCCUUCUUUCCAUCAGCAUGUUCCAUCGAUGUUGUAGCAUGUAAUUCAUUCUUCUAUAUCACUAAAUAUUAUUUCAUUGUAUAGACAUACCACAAACGGAUUAUUUUAUCCAUUUGUCAUUUGAUGAACUUUUAUUUUACCUAUUUUUUUCUUUUGUUGUUUUUGCUUCCAGUGUCAUAUGUAAAAAACACAUUCUCUAAUACAUAGUAACAGAGAUUUACAUGUGUAUUUCUUUCUAGCUUUAGUGUUUUAGCUCUUACAUUUAGGUCUACAGUCCAUUCUGAGUUGGUUUUUGACUAUGUUAAAAGGUGGGGUCCCAAACUCAUGCUUUGCAAGUUGAUAUCCUAUUGUGCCAGGCUUAUCUGUUAAAAAGACUAUUCUCUCCUUAUUGAGUGAUCUUGGCACUGUUGUCAUAAAUCAACUGAGUAUAAAUGUGAAUGUUUAGCUCUGGACUCUUCAAUUACAUUCCAGAAAUCCAGAUGUCUAUCCUUUUGCCAAUACUUCAAUGUCUUUAUUACUGUAGCUUUCCAGUAGGUUUUGAAAUCAGGAAGAAUGAAUCCUCCAACAAUAUUCUUUCUUAAAAUUAUUUUGAGUAUUCUGAGUCAUUGCCAUUUCAUAAAAAAAUUUUGAGCAACUUACCAUAUAAAAACCCUGCUAACAUUUAUAUUAAGAUUAGCAUGAAUCUGGAGAUUAAUAUAAGGAAUAUUGUCAUCUUAACAAAGUCUUAUGAUUGAUGAAAAUGCGUGGUCUGUCCACUUAUUUAGAAUUACCUUAAUCUCCUUCAUAGAGCUGUGUUA